AUUAUUAUUAUUAUUAUUAUUCUAAAACACCAAGGAAGCAGAAAAUAACAGUUAACUAACGUCUCCUCCCAUCACAACAAAGUACAAACUAUAAAUAGAACACUUAUAAGCUUCAUAAAGCAGGAAGGAAACUUUACUCCCAAAUUUGGGGUCCUAACUGCCGGAGUGGGGCCAACUUAUAAUGAUGGCAGCAAUAUAAAAAUCAUUCAUUUCCCGGCCAAACACAAGAUACAUCAACUAACCCGUCCACCCAAAUUGUCAACCACCAGUUUAAAUGACAAUAAAUCCCUUCUCCACAACGAAGUUGUAUGCAAUAAAAGAUGACAUUUAUUUCUCUCUGUACUGCUGUUUCAUAAACAAAUCAAUAGUAGCCUGAAAAUUUCACAACCCUUCGGAAUAUUUUGAAAUUUGAUGGCUUCAGCUUCGCCAUCAAAAUCCUUUUCCAGGAAAGAAUUAGGUCAACAGGUUUGGAUUGAAUGUGAAUUUCCUCCACUGCCUCAUUUUGGAAGUUCAGUAUUGAUUAUGUUGUUUAAAGUAUCAAACACCCUUUCAAGAGCAGUUUGAAGCUUACAAGUUAUAAUAAUAUUCAUUCAAACAUGAAGUACAAAAAUUGCCUCCAGCAAUUUCCAAUAUACUCCACUCAACCCAACUUGAACGUCAAGUAUACCUUUUAAAGUAAAACGUUUCCAUUUAGAAAAUGUCAAAAGACUCAUGUAUGCAUAGUAUACAUUUGUAUACCACAUAAUGAACGCAAAUCGCUCUCCAGCAAUUUGGUUCCACUCAAAAAUAAAAAGAAACAAGACCUGUAAAUCCAUAACAAUAACUUUGAACACUUUUUCACACAUCCAAAUAUGUGAAAGUUCUCUACCUUCCUAUCAUCAGUAAGACUAGUCACACCAUAAAGAUGCAUAAACUAGACAUUCAUUCCUCCAUUGACAAUGCUGGUUUCAAUCAAAUUUCAAGCUAUUAACAUUUGGUGCAGAGACUUGAGAUGCUAGAUCAGUACAUAACCGACAAACACGGAAAUAUGCACACCCCAUUAUAUUUUCUUAAGGGCCAAACCAAAAGGUACCGAGAAACAGAAAAGGUAAUAUACACAAUUUGAAAAAUCUACUUUGAACGUAGGACAAAAAAAGAGAAAGAUCUAUAUUACAACCUAAUGGGAAACAGGAUAUGAGAUAUUACUCAAAAUGACUUA
Molecule: unclassified non-coding RNA, 1198 nt
Filed under: Hevea brasiliensis (rubber tree)
Lineage: Eukaryota; Viridiplantae; Streptophyta; Magnoliopsida; Malpighiales; Euphorbiaceae
Source: RNAcentral